AUUGAACGCUGGCGGCAUGCCUUACACAUGCAAGUCGAACGGCAGCACGGGUGCUUGCACCUGGUGGCGAGUGGCGAACGGGUGAGUAAUAUAUCGGAACGUACCUUAUCGUGGGGGAUAACGCAGCGAAAGCUGCGCUAAUACCGCAUACGCCCUGAGGGGGAAAGCGGGGGACCGUAAGGCCUCGCGCGAUUAGAGCGGCCGAUAUCUGAUUAGCUUGUUGGUGGGGUAAAGCCCACCAAGGCGACGAUCAGUAGCUGGUCUGAGAGGACGAUCAGCCACACUGGGACUGAGACACGGCCCAGACUCCUACGGGAGGCAGCAGUGGGGAAUUUUGGACAAUGGGGGCAACCCUGAUCCAGCAAUGCCGCGUGAGUGAAGAAGGCCUUCGGGUUGUAAAGCUCUUUGUCAGGGAAGAACACCGGCUCUAACACAGUCCGGGAAUGACGGUACCUGAAGAAUAAGCACCGGCUAACUACGUGCCAGCAGCCG
This 492-nucleotide ribosomal RNA is filed under the name uncultured bacterium. RNAcentral describes it as "bacterial SSU rRNA". It matches the Rfam family "Bacterial small subunit ribosomal RNA", at positions 29 to 517 of the family's 1533-position model. The record is from RNAcentral.